CUACCUAUUCCACCUCUCUCAGUCACUUAGAAACCACACAGACUCAGCCUAGAUGGAAGCACAGGGAGAAAAAGGGUUUCUAGGUGACUAGCGAAAUCAGCCUCUACAUUUCUAGUACACCUAUCGUGGUUAAAUCUAGGUACUGCUGGAAAUAGAAAUACGAUGAGCGGUUUCAUGCUAAACUGAGGAAGGAUGCUGUGCAGGUGGAUAACCAGGGCAGCCAGCAAGGAGCACGAGAGGAACGAGGCGGUCUCUAAUGAUCUCUUCAGUAUCUGGUAGACUUCAGCAUCUGCUUUUCUUCACACUGUUAUCUUCGCUGCUGCUGUCCAGUUGCAUGAAAACCUGCUCUGUUUCAAACUGUAGGAGAUGGAGAAGCUUUCUCUGUUCUGGAAGAAGCAGAAGAUGACCUGAGUUUCUCCUGAAAAUUGCCUUUGUUUUUCCAGUAAUUGCUUGACCAAGUUUUAGAGAGGUUAAGAAGGCAUGUGUCAGACUUGCAAGUUGAAGAUGUUAACUUCUCCAAGCUUUGCCAUUAUUCCUAAAACAUCAUCAAAGAGGAAAAUGGAUACUAUCGUCAUACUAGGAAGAGUAUAAGAAAAUCUCAGUGAGAUCAGGCUGCUGGGAAAAGCUUGAAAGAAAAACAGGAGCACUCUGAAACAGAAAGAAAUUAAGUAAUCCUGAAUCUUUGGAAAUGACAGUAAAAGAAAGCCAGAAUUCCUCAGCAAGAGCAGGGGGAAGGGCUUUUAAAUAGAGCCUAUAACAAAGACAACUGCAGAGGGGAUUGCAAAAGCUCUGAAAAAUGAAGCAACCCUGCUCAAUAGAAAACAGGAGUGAGCAGCAGCACGCCAGAGGCCCAAAGGCUGCUGGUGCUUCACAACAAGCUGCAGCAGAGGAGCUCCCUGCCACAUAGCUGCCCUGCUAGAGGAGUGCAAACCCUCCUGGGUGUGUUCACCUGUGCAAAGGAGCCACAGGACUUACCAGAUAAAUGCCCAAAUGUGUGUGGUAGGAAGUGGGACAAUGCAAUUGUUGUCAUCUGUGUGUCCCUUUAUUAAUGUGAGGAAAGGAGAGGGUUUGCAAAGAAAAGGAUAUGCUUGAUUUCUGCUUGAUGAGAGGCAGAGUCUGUGUCUAGCACCACUUACAAAGAUUGCCUGUUGCAACAGAAAAACAAGCAGAAGAAAGGAUGUUUUUUAACAAGAGUUGUUCAGUGCUGUUUAUGUGAUUGUGAAAGAAAAUGUUUUAUCCAGCUAUCCCAGGGAACAAUUUCUUCUAUGUUGUUGACCACUAGUGAAAAGAUCAUGUAAACCAGCAGCACUGUUUAUACGACCAGCAGAAGAGACAACAUUUCCAGUAACGCUAUGAGGUUAAAAAAAAAAAGGGAAAGAAAUGAGAAAGUCAGAUUUCCAGUGUAAUAAUAAUUGCAGUGCAAUGGAAAUGGUCACAGCAGAACACCUUUAUGAAGAGAAGGUAAUAAUAAACUGUAGAAGAGGCUGAGGUUAUAGGCUGCAUCCAGCACACAUGACAAGAA
This is a long non-coding RNA of Corvus hawaiiensis (hawaiian crow), 1522 nucleotides long. RefSeq lists it as uncharacterized. The transcript has 3 exons. The record is from RefSeq and is a predicted model, not a curated record. Lineage: Eukaryota; Metazoa; Chordata; Aves; Passeriformes; Corvidae.